RNAcentral lists this unclassified non-coding RNA (178 nucleotides) under soil metagenome. RNAcentral describes it as "partial internal transcribed spacer 1". The record is from RNAcentral.
UUAAUUCUUCUAGUUAAGCGGCUGCGCGUUUUUUUGGAACCGCGGCUGUUUUUCUUGUGAACUGGGGCCUGCUUUUGGAGUUUUACGCUUCUCUGGCGGUCCGUCGUUAAUGCUCUUGUGUUAAUUUUUUGUUUUUGCUUUUUUUAAGCUUAACCGCUUAAGAAAAAUAAUUACAAGA